AUUUAUUACAUUUCCUCUUUGAUCUUCAUGCCAAUCAAGAUAAGCUCAAUAAAGAUAGAAUUUUAAUGAACACAAGGAACUAUGUGUAGCUGCAACAGCCAGUUUUACUAGUUUUAUGGGUGUGUGCAUUUAUUUUUACUUGUGUAACAUCCAGAUUGUAAGGCUGAGUGUGUGAAGCACUUCAUAUUCAUUUGGUUUUUGUAGAGAAUGAGAUAGCUCUAUCAUUUUCAGUUACCAUAGGUACCUCAUUUUAUCUGUUUUGUAUUUUUUUUCUUGUACAGAAUUAAAGAAGACUGUUAAGAAAAGCAAAUAAUAAAUGAAAUUAUGACAAAGAUAAAUAACAAAGAGGGAAUUGCUGGAAGACUUCAUUGUUAGAGACUGCUAACAGCGAAAUGUCUACCACCACUGAAGGGUAUGGAUGGAUUUUUCCAAGUGACAUUGAAUUACCCUACCACUGAAGUUACUUGUAUGUGCUUGACUGUGACACAAUAUGGAGAGAAUACUGGACCACAAAGCAUUUCCCAGUGGGUACACCUACAGUAGCUACUCUUGAAGACAAAGAAAGGAAAAAAUGAGGAAUGCUUGCACCAGAAGAUAUUUAUGCUCUUCUUUACCUGAGAUUUACUACAGUUUAACAAUUGGUAACAAAUUGGAAUCAGCACAAUAUGUCUACACAACCAUAAAUGAAACAUCAGUGAUGUAUGAAGAAUGCCUUUAGAUUCAUCGUCAUAAUUAUUUUCUUUAUAUUAAAAAUGUAAUGAUAAACAAGGCCAGAGGCAUUUGUAAUUCAAAUGGUUUAAACAGAGGUAAUGAAAUAACAGUUCAAUGGGAAGGAACCUACACCAAUAAUCAAGUCCAACUGCCUGACUACUUCAAGGAGAACCAAAAGUAAAAGCAUAUUAUUGUGGGCAUUAUCCAUAUGCCUCUUGCACUCUGACUGACAAGGGACAUCAACAACCUCCCUAGAAAGCCUGUUCCAGUGGUUGACCCUCUUAUGGUAAAUGAUUUUUUCCUAUUGUCCAAUCUGAACUUCUCCUGAUGCAGCUUUGUGCCAUUCCUUCACAUCCUGUCACCAGUUCCCACUGAGAAGAGAACAGCACCUCCCUCUCUGCUACCUCUCCAGGAAGUUGUGUAGGGCGGAGAAUGAGGAAAUGAGGAAAGUAAAGGCAAGCUGUCUAGAGAUCCCCUAAAAUCACCUAUGU
Molecule: long non-coding RNA, 1202 nt
Filed under: Meleagris gallopavo (turkey)
Lineage: Eukaryota; Metazoa; Chordata; Aves; Galliformes; Phasianidae
Description: lncRNA (ENSMGAG00000022443.1)
Source: RNAcentral